Non-coding RNA from Equus caballus (horse), 5556 nucleotides. NCBI's taxonomy places the organism in Eukaryota, Metazoa, Chordata, Mammalia, Perissodactyla, Equidae. The record is from RefSeq and is a predicted model, not a curated record.
ACCGGGGGGCUUUGGGGAGAAAAAGGAAAAAUAAAAUCUUUAUAAAAAAAAAAAAACAAUUAUCUGGCCCUUUACCAAAGUUUGCCCAUCUUUAGUCUAUGAAAUAGGAGCAACGGUAUAUGCCUACUCCACUGUGUAUGGAUAAAAUGUGCAUUAUGUGCAUAGCACCAAGUGGAAACUCACGAAAAGUUGGUUCAUCCACUCUCUUUCCUUUUCUGUCUUAAUUCCCUUCCAUAGAGAGUUCUUAUUUCAGGGCUUAAGCCACAUAAAACCAUAAAAAAAGGAUGGCAGGCCACCUGUAACACCGUGCACUGCACAGAUGAGGCCUUCAGGCAGUAAGGCUGUGUUUGUCACCUCUAUCUUUCUGCUCCUCAGCAUCCUCUGUGGGGAUGCUGGGGAAGGGGCCAGAACUCCUUGUGUCCUCUGGGGUGUCUGGGUCCCAGACAGAGAUGGGGGUGGCCCUGCAUGGGCUGCCGUAGAGAGCAGCUUCUCUUGGAUUUAUCGGAGGCUGCAUCAUUUCUUGGUUAGGGGACUGAAACUGGGCUUGUGGCACAAAAGGUGCCUGCGGCCGCAGUUGAGUUCAUCUCAAGAUGACUGCUUGAGGGGAUGCAGCUGGAAUAGAGGGUCUUGAUUCGGUUUGAGGGAUGGCAUGGAGUCGUGGAAAGAACUGACAUAUGGGAUCUGGGCUGGAAUCCCAGCUCUGCCCCUCACAGACUCUGGGAUGGUCCCUCUCUGCACAUCUUUUCUUCAUCUGAAAAGUAGGGGUGAUGGUUUCUCCUGGGGAGGGCUAUGAACAGGGUUCCCCAGUGGGUAAGCCUGGGGAGUGCUGGGUUUUGUCUUUUUCUGCACUGAAACCCUGUGCUAGAACAGUGCCUGGCCAAAGACCUGUUUUGAAAGGGGGUAAAAUACGUGGAGUGCCUGCCACACAAUCAGUUCUCAUUAAAUAGUCAUAUUGCUGUGUCUGUUCUAAACUAAGAACCAGCAGAAUAUGGCCCACAGGCCAAGUCUGGCCCACAGCCUGAUUUUGUAAAUAAAGUUUUAUUGGGACACAGCUCCACGCCUUGGUUUACAUGUUGUCCAGGGCUGCUGGACAGUGGUGGAGUUGAGUAGUUGUGAGAGAAACAUGGCCUGCAAAGCCCAAAAUAUGUACUAUCUGGCUCUUUAUAGCGAAUCUUUGUGGCUCCUGCUCUGAAUGUCAAGGCGCCUCUGUCCGUCAGUGAUCGAGGAUUUCAUUUUCCUCUGAUUGCAGGUGUGCAAACAGUUAAAUGUUGAAAACAAGCUGCUAGCUUGAAGUAUGUAUUCUCGAUGCCCUCUCUUAAGAUACUCAGUUUUUCCUUUGAUGCUCUAAUUCCACCGCAAUAUUCCGGCACGGUCAGAAUGGACUUAUCUCCUGCUCUCGUACCUAAGAUGGUGUCACUUUCAUUUCUGUGUAAAAAGAAACUCAAACCACCUGUCAACCACUGGUAUAUUCAUUAGGACUGGCCAUGUACCUUGCAACAAGUCUAGGCUUAGGGAAGCACACAGGAGAUGAGUCAAGGUAAAAAAGGAUGACCGACUAGAUACAGCUUACUAUGUGGUAUCAAUGGAUAGAUGGCUGACAGGGAGCAGGAGGGAGUCCACUGUCUGGGCCACAGAGUGUGUAGGUUUCUGAUUCAUUCGUCCAUUGUCAUGAACAGAAUGACCUCAAACACCUUAGUUAGCCUCACUUAACCUUGAUUUUCCAAUCUAUAAAAUGGCAACAAUGAUACUCACCACACUGGGUUGUUGGGAAGACUAAAUAAGGUAAUGUAUCAGGUACCAGAAACAUGGUAACUAUUCACCUAUUUUUAUAAUGAAAUAAAUCCUUUAUUUCUCAGUUUGGGAGAGAGAUUCAAAGACCUCUGCUACAGUCGGCCCUCCUUUUGAUGGUCAGGACCCACAGUUGGUUUUGUGCAGUGGUGAAUGGGAUCUUCUGGGACUGAACAGCAUUUAUCAAGUACUCUUUGGUCUUCGUUUGAAGGGCUCCCCGUCCACUGGGCCAGCUGAGCAAUGCGGGCUGGACCCUUGCCCUGCUACCAUUGCAUAGGCAGCAGAUCUGUUUCUUCUCUUCCCUCCAGAAGGACAGAACGACAAGCCCCCGGAUUCCUAAGCCCCAACGAGAGGACCAUUCAGGAACCACUGAAGGCUGAGUUCACCAAGUGGCUGUAAGACAUGGAGUAUGUAACGUGGCAGCGUGGAGAACAGGGAAGACCCGGAGCUGGGCAAUGCUGGCCUCUACCAUGUCUGUCCACUAACACAUCAUCACUUCGGAAGCAUCUGUGCAAAGAGGCGGGAGAGGGAACCAGGAGACCUGGUUGCUGGAUCAUGAUUUUGCCAAUCCCAGAGGCAACCUGGAGUAUGCCUGGGAAGCUUUCGGUCUUGGUUGUGGGAUGGGCAAAGUGCCGUGGAGCUCCGGGGUUGAUUCCUCUCCAGACACUUGUAACACUGCUUCAGGAAGACUUUCCCAACAUCUGGAGAAUUUCUGUGUUCCCUCUGCCAGUCUGGGAUGCCUAUGUACCAUGUUGCUGGGUCUGGGAUUCAGGCUGAAGCCAAAGGCAGUUAUCCUUUAAAGUAUCCAGCUGUAAAAAGCCACAGCCAUCCUCAUGCUCUGGGUUGCCCAGAAAUUCCAAGAAGUUUUCUUCUGCCUCACUGACGGGAACAGACUGGAAUGCACUACCGCUGAUAACAGAAGAGGCUAAAGGCCACGGAAGCAGGCAGCCCCAGGAGCAAAUCCUUGCGCCACCACUUUCUGCUCAAAGAUAUCGUACAAGUUACUUAGCCUUGGUCUUAGGUCACAUUUCCUGGGAAAGAGAAACUGAGACUGAAGUUUGUGAGGAGGCUAAUUGGGGAGUGAGCUCAGGAAGAACACUUGAGAUGGGGAGGAAGGCAGGAUUGUGCAGAGGGAGGAGUUGGGCCAUGAUGCAGUUUUAGUGGAAACCACCGGCAAUCUCACAGGGACCCUGGAGCUGGGAUGACCCUGCAGAGUUGUCCCAGUUGAGGAUAAGUGAUGGGGCUUUUGUACAUCCAUGUUGACUGGUCCCAGAUGCUGUCUGCCUUCUGAGAAAAGGGAUGAGAUGAAAGCUCCGUUUGGCCGAGUCUUGGGACAGCAGCCAGAGCUCCUGGUAGCAGGCAGAAUGGGUGCCUUCAGCCUGAGAGGGCACCUGGGUAGCCACUACAGCUUUGCCAACAUGCUCAAUAUAUCACAGGAUCAAGGAGGUGUCCUUGGUCACUUGACCUAAAAUUGCAACCCCUUAAUCUCAUAUUCCCUCUACCCUGUCUUUAAUCCAUAGUAUUUAUGGUGAACUGACAUACUUUGUACUAAUUUGUCUAUUGUCUUUCUGGAUCUGCUCUACAGUGUACUCCAAGCUACUUAAGAGCAGGGACUUUGUUUUGCUGGUGACUGUAUGCCCAGUUCCUAAAACAGGAGUUGGCAUGGAGUGAACUCUCAAUAAAUAUUUAAUUGAAUGGAAUAAAUGAAUAAAUAAAUAUAACACAUAGUGAGUGUUCACUAUAUGAGAAGCAUUCAAGUUCUCAGCACUUGCAGUAAGUAAUAUUCACAACAACUCCAUAGGGAGACCCUAUUAUUAUCCCCAUUUUACAGAUGAAGAAACUGAGGCACAGCAAGUUUAACUGUCUUGCCAAGGCCAUGCAGCUUAGAUGUCUUAUAUUCAAGAUCAGAAGAGGCAACAGGAUUCAUAUUCCAAGGCACUCUCCCCUCCUCCCUCUUCAGCAGACGCUCAGUCAGAGCCAGCUAUUCCUUCCCUUCCUUCCUUCCUCUCUUUGCUGUCUCCUGGAAUGCUUGUAUGGGAAUCACAGAGUCGCACGCUUCAGAUAUCUGGGGUGAAUCUUUGGUGUUUUAUGCAUUCAAAGGGUGAGAGCUUGGCUGAGCUCAAACUGCUGCCCUCUCUUCCCAUUUUCUCCAUACUGGUGCCUUAGAACCUGGUCAAGUCACACAACUUGGUAUUUUUUUCUUUAUUACUAUUUUUUUUUAACAGCUGUUGACAAAUGCAGAGGCUAUUAUGGUUUAUGGUGUUCCUUUGCAUGCACCAUCUCAUUUGAUCAGCUCAACAGCCCAGGGAUAUGGGCAGUGCAAGGAUGGCCACUGCAGUUUAUCGAUGAGGAACCAGAGGCUCAGAGAGGUUGCGUGAAGCUAUUUGGAAGAAGGGUUUCGUUUCUAGUUAUAAGUAAGUCCUAUUUUUCUCUGUUUUGCUCUUUCUUUUUCCUUAUUGGGGGCUGGAGGGUAGGAAUUAAGCCUGGAGCAUUUCUGCUCUCCAGAUUUAGUGAAAGUCACUUGGAACACUGGUGAGCAUUUCUCAAUGGCUUCUCCCUACUUGACAGAUGAGGAAACUGAGGCACAAAGAGGUGACAUGAUUCCCCCCGGUUGUGUAGUGCCGUCACUGGAACUGGGGUGUUAUCUCAAAGCUCACGUGCUCUUUAGGGCCCCUGCUGCCUCUUCCAAGUUCGGUGGGCGACUUCAAAGCUGCUUCUACAUUUCCUCGAGCAAUAAUAGGGUUCAUGCUUCAAAUUAAAAAAAAAUAAUACUAAUUAAACAUUAAAAAGCCAAGUUUACUUUAAAUGCACUGAGGGUGCAUUAUCACACUGCCGGCCUGAGGAGAUAUUCAAGGAGAUAGUCUUGGCAGAAUUUACUCAUUAUAAAGAGCUCCUUUUAUCCAGUUACAUCAGCCAAAUUUCACGGCAUCUUUCAGAGGCCUAAGGAGCACAGGAACAUGUAUUCUCCUCUUGGAAUUUAAUCUAAUCUUAAAGAAGGCCAGGUAGUCUUCCUGAGGCUGAGCUCCAGGCCACAGGCUCCAACCGGGAGAAAUGUAGCUUGAAAGAGCCUGUUUUACACAGGCCAGUGGAAUACUUUGUUUCUUUGCUUCUGAGCUCAAGGGCAGGUUUGAGUGGGCACCAAAGGUGGCUGUCACCAGGCAGGAAGUACACAGAAAUAUAUAUUUACUUCUUGAGAGAAAUGAUUAGGAGACUGAAUGUCAAAGUUCUGUCUUCAUGGUGGAAAAACUCAAGUCAGUUCCUGGACUAUCAGAGCUCCUCACGGCCAUAGUUUGAGAACCAUCACUCCAAUCUACACAAUGGUGGCUGUGGAGGUUUUAAGACCUGCACGCAUCUCCUUCCACAGGCCUUCUGUCAAGAGGUGGAGUCUAGUUUUCCCUCUGCCUUGAAAUGGGGCAGAAAUCUGUGACUGCCUUAACCAAUAAAAUGCCGGAGAAGUGACCAUAAGUGACUUCUGAGGCUAGAUUAGGGACAGUCAUACAGCUUUUCUCUGGCUCUCUCUUGGGACAUGUGCUUUUGGAUUGCGACCCUGAAGCUACCAUGCUGGAGGGACCACAUGAUGGACCACAUAGAGAGAGAGAGAGAGGUGCCUGAGGACCCAAGCUGAUGUCGUGUAGAACAGAAAUGAGCCUUCUCUGCUGAGUUUGGCCCAAAUUGCACAAUCAUGAACUGUGUAGAUUGCCAUUAUUUAAUUAAUUAAUUUAUUUAUUUUUUGAGGAAGAUCAGCCCUGAGCUAACAUCUGCUGCCAA